RNAcentral lists this ribosomal RNA (453 nucleotides) under Triticum aestivum (bread wheat). RNAcentral's name for it is "partial small subunit ribosomal RNA". Lineage: Eukaryota; Viridiplantae; Streptophyta; Magnoliopsida; Poales; Poaceae. The record is from RNAcentral.
AUGAAUUCUUCCCAGCGCAAGCGUUACCGUGACCGGGAUAGAUAUCUGCAAAUGACUCCAUAUCAGAGGGAAGCCUAUUUGCAAAGGAAUCGUGAGUACAAAAGAAUGAGGCGUGAGUGCAGCGCAAGUUGUAGCAAUACACAACCAGCACCCCAGCAGAAAACUACAAGAGCUAAUAAGAACAUAUGCAUGACAGGAAAGGAAGUCGUGGCCAGUUCAAACUAUGAGAAGCAUGAUUCAGUAUUUACUCAACUGGGGUCUUCAUCAAAAGGAAAACAAGUGGCGGAUGUUGGUGGUUCUGGCACAAGUCGUCCAAAAGCUGGAACUCGAUUCACCAUCAGUCCAUCUGGCAUAUAUUAUCAUCAAUAUCCUCGGCUAUAUGGAGGAUUUAUAGGGAUGCAAGGUUUAUAUCACCUCCAGAGGCUAUAUGGAGGAUUUAUUCUUUCAAUCUAA